AACGAACGCUGGCGGCGUGGAUAAGACAUGCAAGUCGAACGGGAUUACUUUUGUAGCAAUACAGAAGUAAUUCAGUGGCGAACGGGUGCGUAACACGUGGGCAAUCUGCCGAAAAGUGGGGAUAGCUCGCCGAAAGGACGAAUUAAUACCGCAUGUGGUGAGGGACGACAUCUUCCUGAAUACCAAAGCCGGGGCAACCUGGCGCUUUUGAGGAGCCCGCCGGCCUAUCAGCUUGUUGGUGA
This 242-nucleotide ribosomal RNA is filed under the name uncultured bacterium. RNAcentral describes it as "partial 16S ribosomal RNA". It matches the Rfam family "Bacterial small subunit ribosomal RNA", at positions 29 to 255 of the family's 1533-position model. The record is from RNAcentral.